GUGGUAGCUCAGUGGUAGAGCGCUCGCCUCGUACGUGCUGGACCCUGGGUUCAAUCCUCAGAACCACA
This 68-nucleotide transfer RNA is filed under the name Marmota monax (woodchuck). It matches the Rfam family "tRNA". From Rfam's summary of the family: Transfer RNA (tRNA) molecules are approximately 80 nucleotides in length. The record is from Rfam by way of RNAcentral. Lineage: Eukaryota; Metazoa; Chordata; Mammalia; Rodentia; Sciuridae.